Molecule: ribosomal RNA, 283 nt
Filed under: Enchytraeidae sp. voucher 1254
Lineage: Eukaryota; Metazoa; Annelida; Clitellata; Enchytraeida; Enchytraeidae
Description: partial small subunit ribosomal RNA
Source: RNAcentral
GUUACUUAAUUUGAUGAUCCACGAACCACUCUACCUAACUUUGAAUUACAGCUUGUAUACUUCUGUCGCCAGCAAACCUCUAUAAGAUUAGUUUACAAAAAAUAACCUAAAUAUUAAUCACGUCAAGUCAAGGUGCAGCCUAUAGUUAGGAGUUGAUGGGUUACAAUCUUUAUAAAGAUACGAAUAUAAUUUAUAAUAAAUUAUUGAAGGUGGACUUGAAAGUAAUGAUAAAAAAUCAUAAAUAUAUAUCUAGGAUGUGCACAAAUCGCCCGUCGCUCUCGUU